Molecule: microRNA precursor, 124 nt
Filed under: Hordeum vulgare
Lineage: Eukaryota; Viridiplantae; Streptophyta; Magnoliopsida; Poales; Poaceae
Description: microRNA MIR1122
Rfam family: MIR1120/MIR1122 microRNA precursor family
Source: RNAcentral
AAACUACUCCCUCCGUCCGGAAAUACUUGUCCUAAAGAUGAAUGUAUCUAGACUUAUUUUAGUUAUAGAUAUAUUCAUUAUAUUUAUUUUUAGGACAAGUAUUUUCGGACGGAGGGAGUACCAC